AGGACGAACGCUGGCGGCGUGCUUAACACAUGCAAGUCGAGCGGAAAGGCCUCUUCGGGGGUACUCGAGCGGCGAACGGGUGAGUAACACGUGAGUAAUCUGCCCUUCACUUUGGGAUAACUACCGGAAACGGUGGCUAAUACCGGAUACGACACAGGUACGCAUGUGCUCUGUGUGGAAAGUUUUUUCGGUGGGGGAUGUGCUCGCGGCCUAUCAGCUUGUUGGUGGGGUAAUGGCCUACCAAGGCUUCGACGGGUAGCCGGCCUGGAGAGGGUGACCGGCCACACUGGGACUGAGACACGGCCCAGACUCCUACGGGAGCAGCAGUGGGAAUAUGGACAAGUGGGCGAAGCCUGAUCCAGCAACGCCGCGUGAGGGAUGACGGCCUUCGGGUUGUAACCUCUUUCAGUACCGACGAAGCGCCGAGUGAGUGGUGGUGACGGUAGGUACAGAAGAAGCACCGGCAACUACGUGCCAGC
Molecule: ribosomal RNA, 479 nt
Filed under: uncultured soil bacterium
Lineage: Bacteria
Description: bacterial SSU rRNA
Rfam family: Bacterial small subunit ribosomal RNA
Source: RNAcentral